GAUGAAGAACGCAGCGAAAUGCGAUACGUAAUGUGAAUUGCAGAAUUCAGUGAAUCAUCGAAUCUUUGAACGCACAUUGCACUCUCUGGUAUUCCGGAGAGUAUGCUUGUUUGAGUAUCUGUAAACAUCUCAAAUCUCUCUUCAAUUGCUUCAAUUGGGUCGAGAGAAUUGGAUUUGAGCGAUCCCGACUCCUUCGUCAGAAAGAGGAGGGUCGCUUGAAAUGCAGGUGCAGCUGGACAUUCUUCUGAGCAAAAAGCAUAUCUAUUUAGUCCCGUCAAACAGAUUAUUACUUUUGCUUCAGCUAAUAUAAAGGUUGAAUGAACUACCAACGCUGAUUGCAGGAAAACAUGUUCGUUUAUUCGGACUUGUAAACUCGAUCUCAAAUCAAGUAAGACUACCCGCUGAACUUAAGCAUAUCAAUAAGCGGAGGA
RNAcentral lists this unclassified non-coding RNA (431 nucleotides) under soil metagenome. RNAcentral's name for it is "partial contains 5.8S ribosomal RNA, internal transcribed spacer 2, and large subunit ribosomal RNA". The stretch from base 1 to 120 matches the Rfam family "5.8S ribosomal RNA", at positions 35 to 154 of the family's 154-position model. The record is from RNAcentral.